UACAAAGUUAGAGCUCCUAAUUAAUUAGCUACUGUGUGUGAAUAUAAUCAUAGCUUUUCUUGAAGAAAUUAUAAGAAAAGUAAUUAAGUUAGCAAAAGUGGAUCGAAGGAGAAAAAAGAUGAGACAUUUCCUAAUAUGUACUCAGCAGCUCGAUCUCAGCAAGAUAUGUCUACUUUGGUUUCUGUCCUCUCUCAUGUUAUUGGCAACACUUCUUCUACUGCAGGAAAUACCCUAAGUCAUCUCUCUAUAAACCAACCACACCCCAAUUUACAAC
RNAcentral lists this long non-coding RNA (274 nucleotides) under Nicotiana benthamiana. Its description in RNAcentral is "long non-coding RNA (NBEN_LNC014889)". The record is from RNAcentral. Lineage: Eukaryota; Viridiplantae; Streptophyta; Magnoliopsida; Solanales; Solanaceae.